RNAcentral lists this transfer RNA (78 nucleotides) under Escherichia coli. RNAcentral describes it as "tRNA-Pro". It matches the Rfam family "tRNA". From Rfam's summary of the family: Transfer RNA (tRNA) molecules are approximately 80 nucleotides in length. Their secondary structure includes four short double-helical elements and three loops (D, anti-codon, and T loops). The record is from RNAcentral. Lineage: Bacteria; Pseudomonadati; Pseudomonadota; Gammaproteobacteria; Enterobacterales; Enterobacteriaceae.
CGGCACGUAGCGCAGCUUUGGUAGCGCACCGUCAUGGGGUGUCGGGGGUCGGAGGUUCAAAUCCUCUCGUGCCGACCA